GGCCUUCGGGUUGUAAACCUCUUUCAGCAGGGAAGAAGCGCAAGUGACGGUACCUGCAGAAGAAGCGCCGGCUAACUACGUGCCAGCAGCCGCGGUAAUACGUAGGGCGCAAGCGUUGUCCGGAAUUAUUGGGCGUAAAGAGCUCGUAGGCGGUUUGUCGCGUCUGGUGUGAAAACUCGAGGCUCAACCUCGAGCUUGCAUCGGGUACGGGCAGACUAGAGUGCGGUAGGGGAGACUGGAAUUCCUGGUGUAGCGGUGGAAUGCGCAGAUAUCAGGAGGAACACCGAUGGCGAAGGCAGGUCUCUGGGCCGCAACUGACGCUGAGGAGCGAAAGCAUGGGGAGCGAACAGGAUUAGAUACCCUGGUAGUCCAUGCCGUAAACGUUGGGCACUAGGUGUGGGGCUCAUUCCACGAGUUCCGUGCCGCAUCAAACGCAUUAAGUGCCCCGCCUGGGGAGUACGGCCGCAAGGCUAAAACUC
Molecule: ribosomal RNA, 479 nt
Filed under: Cellulosimicrobium sp. G4
Lineage: Bacteria; Bacillati; Actinomycetota; Actinomycetes; Micrococcales; Promicromonosporaceae
Description: bacterial SSU rRNA
Rfam family: Bacterial small subunit ribosomal RNA
Source: RNAcentral